GGGCAAUUCACCUUUUCUUUAAAUACUCAUGUCACAUUUGUGCUGUUGCCAAUGCUUCUCAGACCCUCCAGAUGAGUACAAGUAUCACACAAAGACAUUCUGGAGAAUGGCAGAAAAGUGAGCGAAGCCAGAAAAACAACACUUCAAAAGGAGACGGGGUCAAGGUGGCAGGCAAGAUGGUCAAAUAGAAGUAGCUUCAGUCUGCAGCUCCCAGUGAGAUCAACACAGAAGGAAACAAUGCCAAGAAUACGUUAAUCUAAACCCAUGAUGUUUCUACAUCUCAAAGAACAGAGAGAAAAGGAAACUGGAGAGAGGCCAGAAGUGACCAACUCUAUUCCCUCAUUUCUGUGUUAUACUCCCUUUGUCUAAUCUUCCCUACCCUACCAGGUGGUUUAAGAAUUUUAUCCUUUCUCCAGACUAGAAGAGGAAGUGGGGGCCGGAAUUAGGUGUAUACAAAUUGUUGGAAAGCCUUUGUGUGGAUUUGGAGGGCUGAAGUAGAGUAUCAUUUUUACAAAGCAGCCCAAGCCUCUAAUCUGAGCAGGAAGAUUCACACUCAUUCUCUGGCAUGAGUCCUAUCAGGAGGAUCAAUGAAGCCAAGGCUGUAGAAAUAAAUAAUUAAUCUCUCCACCCAAGGAGGCUAGUAAACAAUAUUCAAUACGUGAAUACUGAGUUCUGCCAAGAGGAAGAAGCAUAUAAACCAGGCAACUGCUGAACGCAUUGCCAAAAAGGGAGACUUACGCAUCAUUCACUAAAGCUUUCCAAAAACUAAAUCAGAUCCAAGAACAGAUAAACUCCUGCAGAAUGACAAUGGUGGAGAAAUUGACCUCCCAGCAUUGCAGACUUACAUCAGUUGUUCUGAUGUUCUUAGUUAUAUCAGAUUCCUUCCAGAAUCUUCUAAAUAUAUCAGACGGUCAGACACAACCCCAGGCCCUAAUAAAAAACCCUGAUGCUGGCCUACAGAUGUGCAAUUUAAUAAA
RNAcentral lists this long non-coding RNA (977 nucleotides) under Homo sapiens (human). RNAcentral describes it as "cancer susceptibility 17". The record is from RNAcentral. Lineage: Eukaryota; Metazoa; Chordata; Mammalia; Primates; Hominidae.